AGGAAUUUAUGUAUAGGUUAGGGGGGUUGCCCCUCCAUCAGAUGUCAUGCACAUGCAGCCCACUACCAAAAUCAGCACAGCCACUUUUGUGACUUGUACCCACAAAGCACUUCAUCACAGUUUCUUCCUAUCUACUCAAAGGGCCUCUGCUGCACGAUACCAAAUGUAAGAAUUCACUGCUAAAUGUAUCUAUGUACUGGCUCACUGGGAAAACUUCAAAAAUUCCUAUAGACCUGUGAGCUCAGCUCCUCAGCAGCCCCUCUGCCUGAGUGAUAAUCCCUGGCCUCCUGAUACCUGAGUGCCAGACAGGUAGCCAUGCCAGGAAUAACAAACCCAGAUGAAGACAAAAGGGUGCGAUUAACUUGGCUGGGAAACAGGGAAAUGUAUAUAUCUCUUUUGUUCCACUUGAGGGAUGUUUGGUGGAGGGCAAGGGGAACCAUGGGGCAGGGUCCAGGAUGCUCAGAUUCCUGCCACCAGACCUCCCCUUUCAUGAUGUAACCAUGAUGUAUUAGUGAUGUAGAUUUGGGAGGGUGUAACAUGGGAAUUAAAAGUUUGGGUUCUCUUUUGUUUGGGGCUUCCAUCUUGUUCCACCUGGUGGCAGGUGGGAGUCCUGUCACGACAGUCUUCAAUCAAGACCAAGCCUACUAGCUCCUGUUUUGCUCUAGUA
Podarcis raffonei (Aeolian wall lizard) is the source of this 667-nucleotide long non-coding RNA. RefSeq lists it as uncharacterized. NCBI's taxonomy places the organism in Eukaryota, Metazoa, Chordata, Lepidosauria, Squamata, Lacertidae. The record is from RefSeq and is a predicted model, not a curated record. The transcript is spliced from 2 exons.